CCUACGGGUGGCAGCAGUAGGGAAUAUUGCUCAAUGGGGGUAAGCCUGAAGCAGCAACGCCGCGUGGAGGAUGACUGCCCUCUGAUUGUUAAAUCUCUUUGUUAGAGAAGAUAAUGACGGUACCUAUCGAAUUAUCACCGGUUAAUUCCGGGCCAGCAUCCGCGGGCACCCGGCGGGCACAAGCGUUACUCGGAAUCAUUGGGCGUAAAGGGGGCGUAGGCGGGAUAGCAAGUUACGUGUGAAAUCCUAUGGGUUAACCAUAGAACCGCAUUUGAAACUGUUGUUCGUGAGUUGGGGAGAGGUAGGUGGAAUGCUUGGUGUAGGGGUAAAAUCCGUAGAGAUCAAGAAGAAUACUCAUUGCGAAGGCAACCUGCUAGAACAUAACUGACGCUGAUGCGCGAAAGCGUGGGGAGCGAACAGGAUUAGAUACCCUGGUAGUC
This 440-nucleotide ribosomal RNA is filed under the name uncultured bacterium. Its description in RNAcentral is "partial 16S ribosomal RNA". It matches the Rfam family "Bacterial small subunit ribosomal RNA", at positions 338 to 795 of the family's 1533-position model. The record is from RNAcentral.